CAAGCUAGUUCGUUACACUGAUUACUUAGCGAUCAAUGAUCUAAAAUGUCUAAAUUGUUUCAACUAAAGGUGUAGGGGAAUUACAAAAACUCCAAAAAAGGGGGUCCAGAAAAUUUAAGAGCCUUUAAUGUUACAAACUCAGUCUCUAAGCCAAAAACUAGUUUCUUCUAAAGCCAGAUGUGUUUCCUGAUUCAAGCUCCCAUCCAUCAUUUCCGCCCUGCAGACACAGAAGGACCUUACCACCUAUUAUUAGGCGGCUUCACCUUGUAAAUACGGACGAUCCAAUUAGAUGUUGUGAAAGCUUCUUCCAAGUAUUCAAGUUUAACAUCCUUAUUUCCAAUUUCAACACCCCUUGCACGAUCAUACCCUGCAGGCUUGCCAUAUUCUGUUAUCAGUUCUCCAAAUCGAUAGUAGGAUAGCUUGUACAUAAGACAAUUCAACAUCUUGGGGGCUGCACCUUUGUCAACACGAUACUCACCAUUGACAAGGUAAUCAGGUUCCUUAAUUACAGGAAAUACUCCACCUCCAAUUCUUACCAUCCACAAAAACUUAUUGAUAUCAUCAGAAGAGUAACCAGUAACACCCCCAAAGACAACUAAUACAUAAUCCACAUCAAGGGAUCUCAUUAUCUCAAAUGCUUCAUCCUCAUAAGAUGACAUUGCACGUCCAACAGUAGCAAUGUGGGUAUUGUUCCAGGUAUUAUUGUCGACAAUAACCGUUCUGUUUCCCAUGGCAGUGAUUUGGUAUCCAUAAUCCCACCAUGACAUCACCUUAGCAUCUGGAGGUGAUCUGGAGGUGUAUUUUGCCGUAGCCAAAAGUAUGCUUCACGGUAAUCAUCAAAAAUGACCCUGUUGCCAUGUGCACCCCUUGCAGCCAAGACAAUUGAGGGAGAUGAGUAUGCCUCUGACGUCACCCAGGUACAGUGCGUAGCAUACUUACUGAGCAAGUAAAAUGCACCAAGAAGCAAUGCCAUAGCACCAUUCCUUUGAAAAGGCUGAGAGUGAUCAAGCAAACCCUUAGAAGAAGAUUUUGCACUGCUAGUUCCUUUGGUAGAACCGAUUUGGGCAACUUUGUUCUUUGACCUUAACAACACUGUCAAAUUCUUUAUCGUGGCAGAAACAGCAAUGGCACUAAUAAGGCAAACGGCGGGGGUAGCCACAAGAAUCAACCGAACCAUAACACCAGCAAAAUACAUACUA
RNAcentral lists this unclassified non-coding RNA (1199 nucleotides) under Hevea brasiliensis (rubber tree). The record is from RNAcentral. Lineage: Eukaryota; Viridiplantae; Streptophyta; Magnoliopsida; Malpighiales; Euphorbiaceae.